Molecule: ribosomal RNA, 252 nt
Filed under: uncultured bacterium
Lineage: Bacteria
Description: partial 16S ribosomal RNA
Rfam family: Bacterial small subunit ribosomal RNA
Source: RNAcentral
GACGAACCGUCCAAACGUUAUUCGGAAUCACUGGGCUUACAGAGUUCGUAGGCGGUCUGGAAAGUUGGGUGUGAAAUCCCUCGGCUCAACCGAGGAACUGCGCUUGAAACUACCAGACUCGAGGGAGAUAGAGGAAAGCGGAACUGAUGGUGGAGCGGUGAAAUGCGUUGAUAUCAUCAGGAACACCUGCGGCGAAGGCGGGUUGCUGGGCUGAUACUGACGCUGAGGCGCGAAGGCCAGGGAGCAAACGGG